UACGAAGGGGGCUAGCGUUGCUCGGAAUCACUGGGCGUAAAGGGUGCGUAGGCGGGUCUUUAAGUCAGGGGUGAAAUCCUGGAGCUCAACUCCAGAACUGCCUUUGAUACUGAGGAUCUUGAGUUCGGGAGAGGUGAGUGGAGCUGCGAGUGUAGAGGUGAAAUUCGUAGAUAUUCGCAAGAACACCAGUGGCGAAGGCGGCUCACUGGCCCGAUACUGACGCUGAGGCACGAAAGCGUGGGGAGCAAACAGG
This 253-nucleotide ribosomal RNA is filed under the name uncultured bacterium. RNAcentral describes it as "partial 16S ribosomal RNA". It matches the Rfam family "Bacterial small subunit ribosomal RNA", at positions 524 to 776 of the family's 1533-position model. The record is from RNAcentral.